Molecule: ribosomal RNA, 482 nt
Filed under: uncultured bacterium
Lineage: Bacteria
Description: SSU rRNA
Rfam family: Bacterial small subunit ribosomal RNA
Source: RNAcentral
AGGACGAACGCUGGCGGCGCGCUUAACACAUGCAAGUCGAGCGAGAACCUUUCCUUCGGGAUUGGGGACAGCGGCGAACGGGUGAGUAACACGUGGGUAAUCUGCCCUUGACAUCGGGAUAGCCCGGGGAAACCCGGAUUAAUACCGAAUAGCCUCCGGAGCCCUCGGGCGCCGGAGAAAAGGUAGCUUCGGCCUCUGGUCAAGGAUGAGCCCGCGGCGGAUUAGCUUGUUGGCGGGGUAAUGGCCCACCAAGGCGACGAUCCGUAGCUGGUCUGAGAGGACGAUCAGCCACACUGGGACUGAGACACGGCCCAGACUCCUACGGGAGGCAGCAGUGGGGAAUCUUGCGCAAAUGCGGGAAACCGUGACGCAGCGACGCCGCGUGGGGGAAGAAGGCCUUCGGGUUGUAAACCGCUGUCGAAGGGGAGCAAAUUUGAGCGAUCCUUGGAGGAAGCACAGGCUAAAUUCGUGCCAGCAGCCGC